AAGUGUUCAGAAGAUGCAGCACUUAAACAUUUUUAAGAUUAAUGUGACAGCAUGAGAAUCAAGAGUCUACUUUCCUGGCUGUAAGUAAAAAGGUAAAAUAGAAGAAAAGUCAAAGCAAAAGAAAAUUGAAGCAUGGGAAACAGAAAUAACUGCUUUUCUUCACUGCUCCUCUGAUAGUCCAUAUGGGGAAGGAAAAAUAGAAACCAUUCCUGUCAGUCCCGAAGUUGCGCCGACAGUCAGACAUAUACACAAUUUCUGCACUCUGUCUUUCUAAAAAGGGACUGGAGUCCUCACUGCACACACGGGCAGAAGAUGUGGAUGACAAUCCCUGACUCAUGAGCCCUUGUGAUCAUCUCUGAAGUAAUGGUUUCCAAAUGAAUAUCUGGACUGCUGCU
This 395-nucleotide long non-coding RNA is filed under the name Lonchura striata (white-rumped munia). Its description in RNAcentral is "domestica (Bengalese finch) lncRNA (ENSLSDG00000014671.1)". The record is from RNAcentral. Lineage: Eukaryota; Metazoa; Chordata; Aves; Passeriformes; Estrildidae.